UGAAACUAAAGAGUAUCUGGCAGAAAAUGUGGGAGAAUACCUUCACAACCUCAGGAAGGCAAAGUUUUCUUAAAGAAAAGAUGAAAAGGAAAGCAAUUGACAAAUUGUAUACUUACUGUGCAUUGGGUUUAAGAUAAAUUAUACCUCAAUUUAAGAAAUGCUUUUUGAGGUAUUUAUGUUUCUGUAUUUCCAAGCACAUGGGAAUUUUCUGGUUAUCUGUUGUUGAUUUCUCAUUUAAUUGCAUUGUAGUCAGAGGCUAUAUUCUGUAUGAUUUCAAAGCCUGACAGUUUGAGACUGGCCUGAUGACACAUUGCUAUGGUGCUUUUAUUAACGUCUGCAUGAGUUUGAAAUGAAUGUGUAUCUGCAGGUGCUGGAUCCAGUGUCCACAAACAUUACUCUUUCUUAAUUGCUUUGUUCAAAUCUUUUGAAUAGCUACUGAUUUUUUCUGUGCUUGCUGUGUAACUUGCUGAUAGAUGUGUUAAAAUCCCCCACUAUGACCA
Homo sapiens (human) is the source of this 500-nucleotide long non-coding RNA. The record is from Ensembl. Lineage: Eukaryota; Metazoa; Chordata; Mammalia; Primates; Hominidae.